RNAcentral lists this ribosomal RNA (253 nucleotides) under uncultured bacterium. RNAcentral describes it as "partial 16S ribosomal RNA". It matches the Rfam family "Bacterial small subunit ribosomal RNA", at positions 524 to 776 of the family's 1533-position model. The record is from RNAcentral.
UACGACGGGUGUAAGCGUUAAUCGGAAUUACUGGGCGUAAAGCGCGCGUAGGUGGUUCAGUAAGUUGGAUGUGAAAUCCUCGGGCUCAACCUGGGAACUGCAUCCAAAACUGCUGAGCUAGAGUACGGUAGAGGGUGGUGGAAUUUCCUGUGUAGCGGUGAAAUGCGUAGAUAUAGGAAGGAACACCAGUGGCGAAGGCGACCACCUGGACUGAUGCUGACACUGAGGUGCGAAAGCGUGGGGAGCAAACAGG